Molecule: ribosomal RNA, 526 nt
Filed under: uncultured bacterium
Lineage: Bacteria
Description: partial 16S ribosomal RNA
Rfam family: Bacterial small subunit ribosomal RNA
Source: RNAcentral
UGGGGAAUAUUGCACAAUGGGCGCAAGCCUGAUGCAGCCAUGCCGCGUGUGUGAAGAAGGCCUUCGGGUUGUAAAGCACUUUCAGCGAGGAGGAAGGUGGUGAACUUAAUACGUUCAUCAAUUGACGUUACUCGCAGAAGAAGCACCGGCUAACUCCGUGCCAGCAGCCGCGGUAAUACGGAGGGUGCAAGCGUUAAUCGGAAUUACUGGGCGUAAAAGCGCACGCAGGCGGUUUGUUAAGUCAGAUGUGAAAUCCCCGGGCUCAACCUGGGAACUGCAUUUGAAACUGGCAAGCUAGAGUCUCGUAGAGGGGGGUAGAAUUCCAGGUGUAGCGGUGAAAUGCGUAGAGAUCUGGAGGAAUACCGGUGGCGAAGGCGGCCCCCUGGACGAAGACUGACGCUCAGGUGCGAAAAGCGUGGGGAGCAAAACAGGAUUAGAUACCCUGGUAGUCCACGCUGUAAAACGAUGUCGAUUUUGGAGGUUGUGCCCUUGAGGCGUGGCUUCCGGAGCUAACGCGUUAAAUCGA